RNAcentral lists this ribosomal RNA (253 nucleotides) under uncultured bacterium. RNAcentral describes it as "partial 16S ribosomal RNA". It matches the Rfam family "Bacterial small subunit ribosomal RNA", at positions 524 to 776 of the family's 1533-position model. The record is from RNAcentral.
UACAGAGGUCUCAAGCGUUGUUCGGAUUCAUUGGGCGUAAAGGGUGCGUAGGCGGCGCGGUAAGUCGGGUGUGAAAUCUCGGAGCUUAACUCCGAAACUGCAUUCGAUACUGCCGUGCUUGAGGACUGGAGAGGAGACUGGAAUUCACGGUGUAGCAGUGAAAUGCGUAGAUAUCGUGAGGAAGACCAGUGGCGAAGGCGGGUCUCUGGACAGUUCCUGACACUGAGGCACGAAGGCCAGGGGAGCAAACGGG